GCUAAAAUUGAUAGGGUUUUACCCUCUGAAUUCUCAAUCUUUUUGAAUGAAAAGAACAAAAUAUUAUCAUCUUUGUUCUUUUCUCAUUUAGUUUCGGACAUUGCUUUUGUUUAUUAUUUUCAUGAAUAUAAAUACUUUUAGUAUUACUAAUAAACAUUUGCAGUAUGUUUGUUUUCUGGGUUUGUUUUGUCUAUGCAAACUGAUUAGUUUUAUGUUGCAAAAAGCUUGAGUCUAGUUUCUCAAUCAAUGAUAUAUCAUCAACUUUGGUAUGUGUUUUGCAUACAUUUCAAAUUUGUAUAUAUUUUCACAAUUCACCCCUUUGAUUAACUUUCAUGGUAAAAUAUUUAUCAAUUAUUCGUAGGUGUUGUGCAUACAUUUUAGAUCAUCUUGUAGUCAAUGAUGAAUUAAAAUUUGUGCACAACAUCUUACUUGCAUAUGCUCACCAGAUAUGAAUUUCAUCUCCCCAUUUAUUCUUUUAGUUAAUAAGUUAACAUUCUCCUAAAACUUUUUAGUGGACGGUGUUAAAUGCAACAUUGAUUCUCAUUGUAUUCUACAAAGAUUGAUUGCAAUAUAUUGUUUAAGCUGGUGUUAAGAAACACCGGACUUUCGUUGACCAAAUGUACUAUUCAUAUGUCU
This 636-nucleotide long non-coding RNA is filed under the name Trifolium pratense (red clover). RNAcentral describes it as "long non-coding RNA (TPRA_LNC008472)". The record is from RNAcentral. Lineage: Eukaryota; Viridiplantae; Streptophyta; Magnoliopsida; Fabales; Fabaceae.